Molecule: ribosomal RNA, 269 nt
Filed under: uncultured prokaryote
Description: partial 16S ribosomal RNA
Rfam family: Bacterial small subunit ribosomal RNA
Source: RNAcentral
UACGAAGGGUGCAAGCGUUACUCGGAAUUACUGGGCGUAAAGCGUGCGUAGGUGGUCGUUUAAGUCCGUUGUGAAAGCCCUGGGCUCAACCUGGGAACUGCAGUGGAUACUGGACGACUAGAGUGUGGUAGAGGGUAGCGGAAUUCCUGGUGUAGCAGUGAAAUGCGUAGAGAUCAGGAGGAACAUCCAUGGCGAAGGCAGCUACCUGGACCAACACUGACACUGAGGCACGAAAGCGUGGGGAGCAAACAGGAUUAGAUACCCCCGUA